Molecule: long non-coding RNA, 4497 nt
Organism: Meriones unguiculatus (Mongolian gerbil)
Lineage: Eukaryota; Metazoa; Chordata; Mammalia; Rodentia; Muridae
Exons: 4
Source: RefSeq, a predicted model, not a curated record
GCGGCUGUGAGGAGCAGAAAAGUGAAAAGGAUGAGUUUUAGGCAGGAGAGUAAGGCCUCCGGCUGUUGCUGUCUUCUCUUUCUUCCUUACCGUUUUUCCCCGUCUUCCCCCAUCCCGCUGGGUGGAUUUUUAUUAAUUUAUUUUUACUUCAUAAAAUAGAAAAAUUUGAACUUCGUAAAAACCUGCUUAUUCCUGAGCGAGGUGGCUCUUUCCUGUAAUCCCAGGACCAGGAAUCAACAGUCAAGAACUGGAGGCCAGUCUCUGCUAUAUGAACCAACUGGUCGUUUUGUUUUGUUUUCUGACUUUUUAUUGAUUCUUGGCGAAUUUAACACCAUGCACUCCAAUCCCACUCAUCUCCCCAUUCCUUCUUAUCCACCCUUGCAACCUCCCCCCCACAAAACCAAGUAGGCUUUUUAAAAGAAAUUAAUUAAUUAAUUUACAAAAUGAGAUGGACUUAAAUAAGACCCCUGCAUCGUGUGGAUUUCCCACACGGUACUCUACAAACUGUGAAAAGAGGAAACAAUAUUCAGUUCCUUGUGCACAGGCCUGUGAAUCUCUCUGACCUCUAAACCGUGCUUGAAUUCCAGAGAAGAGCUCUGUUUUUCUAGUUUGGAAUUAGGCAAGCUUUUCCUGGAGCUGGCCCCAGGCAGGGUGAAGGCUGAGGGCUCAGGGCCCAGGGCUUCCCUGGGAAGGCAACCUCGGCGGCGGUGUGGAUUCUGCUCUGAGCAGGCAGCUGGAUGCUGACUCUGUCCAGAGGAGAAAGUCUGCUCAGCCACCCUGAAACAUAUCCAGGCUCGUGCACGGUGGGGACAGACACACUGGUCAUCCUAACGCCGAGGAAGUGGACGCACAAGCGAGGAGUGACGCAGUGAGGAGUUUGAAUCCAGCCUGGCCUACAACACGAGACCACGUCAAAAAAAGAAAGAAGGAAGGAAAUAUAAAACACACAGAGGCAAACUGAGGUGCUGCUGCUAAGCCUCACGCAGCAGUGUGACUAGUUCCAGCUGCUUUGGACGCUGAGGAAGACAGAUCACUGGAGCCCAGGAGUUCCGGGUCAUCCUAGGUAACAUAGCAUCUCAAAAUAUAAGCAAUUAAAAUUAUUAUUAUUAUAAUAAGUAGCCACACUUGCUAUUUAUAUGCUCCUCUAGGGAGAGGUCAACAGAAAGCUGAAGGUCAGAUUCAGCCAUUUUUUUUUUCCUUGUUUGUUUGUCCGUUAGAACCAGGGUCUCCCUACAUAGCCCAGGCUGGCCUCUAACUUCUAAGCAAUCUUCCUGUCUCUGGCUUCGAGUCCUAGGAUCACAGCCAUGUGGCAUACACUCAACUUCAAGCCUGUGUUUUGAUUUUUUAAAUCAAUUUUUUUAAACAGCAUUUCCUAUCUCUCAGGAUGCUUUGUAUUUAUAUUUUAUUUAUAGUUAUGGUAUAUAAAUUUUUAAAAUUUGAAUUAGUGGGAGAAAACUUUUAAAUAAUUAAAUUGGCUGGUCAUGGUGGCAAACACGUUUAAUCCCCAGCACUCAGGAGGCAGGGGCAGGCGGAUCUCUGUGAGUUCGAGACCAGCCUGGUCUAUAAAGCAAGUUUCAGGACAGCCAGAGCUGUUACACAACUCUGACUCGAAAAGCCAAAAAAAAAAAAAAAAAACCAAACAGACAAAUAAAUUGUUGCUAACAGCAAUAACAACAAGCUGGACAUGGUGGCAGCACAGCAGUAAAUCCCAGCAUUUGGGGGGCAGAGGCAGGGGGUUCAUCAUGAGCUACAAAGUAAGAUCCAGGCCAGCCUGGGUUGGGACUCUUAAAAACACAGCACAGCACACAACACUCAUCCACAAAAUGACUAUGACGAAAGAAUUCUGGGAGUUGGGACUGGCUAAUCACCGGGAAUGAGGUAAUCACAGUCAAGCUACUGCACAGGGCUAUCAGUGGGCAGCGGAAGAGAUUCUGUAACAAUUUAAAUCAAGUUUCUGUGUUGUUUCCUUCCAUCCCUCCCUGCAUACGUCAUCCCCUAAACUGCUCUCGCUGUGACAGUGCGCAGUCCACAGCCACUCCCCACAGGGAGCUUCCGCUCCCAGCUAUGAUGGCUACUGUGGUGUGCCAAUUUCAGCCCAUUUUCAAAUUAAAGUUUCAUUACUGCCGCUAUUAAGUUUGUCCUUUAAGGGGUAAAAAAAAAAAAAAAAAAAUGGUCUUGGAAAGAGCAAGGUAGAAGUGGGCCUCUGGAUCCUACAGGUCAGUUUUAGGCAGAUCACUUUUCAAAAUGCAAUGGGCAGAACCGGGGGCUGGACGGGGUGUGUGGUUCCCCCCUGCAGGGCAUCUGGCCACUGGCUCUGGCUCUGACAGGCCUGCCAGACACAGCCAAGCCCAAAGACCCAACAGAUGGCUAGCAUCCUUCCAUUCUUCCUUUCCUCGCUUUAGACUCAUAUCUCCUCUUGCCCUGAAAAUGACCAGGAGAAGGAGUUCCUCCUUCAUGCAAUGGGCAGGGACGCUCUUUCCUUCUUUCCUUCCUAAAGGUUAAUGUCAAAGAUUUGUCCCUGCCAGGCCAGAGAAUGUUUCAUCAGAGACGCUGCUGCUAUAUUUAACCCCCACGUGCCUUUCAAGCAGAGCAAUUCAUGUGACGAAAAACAGCCGUGACAAACCGUCCUGGCUAUCUCCCGGAGAAGAAAAACAUCGAGUUUAAAAGCUGCGGUUCUCAUGGUGAAUCAAGCAUAUUAGGGCAACUCAUGGAAAGUACCCGUUCUACUUUGGAGACCUGGAUACCAAAGCUCAGGAGUCGAAGAAAACAAAAUCGUCAGGCAGUGGUGGAGCACGUCUUUUAAUCUCGGCACUCAGCAGGCAGAGAAGGUCCAAGUUUGGCUCCUAGCAUUCCUGUCAAUCAUCUCCUAUAACUUCAGCUCCAGGGGGUGCAGACACCUUCUUCUGGCUGAAGGCACCUUCCCCAACGUGGCAUCUUGGCACACAAGUCCACAUAUAUACACAUAAAAUAAAAAAAUCUUAAAAAAAACCUAUUAAUAAUAGAUAAUUCAGUGGGGUGGGGGAGUGGCUUGGAGGAAAAGAGGGAGGGGAAACUGUAAACUGUAAAAAAAUUACAUAUAUGUGUGUGUGUGUACAUAUAUUAUAAACAUGUCUAUGUGUGUGUGUAGAUAUAUAUUAACGCAACUGGAUACAGUGGUGCACUCCUUUAAUUCUAGCACUUGGGCCGCAAAAGCAGGUGGAGUUCUGUGAACUGGAGUCUAGCCUCCUCAGUGAGGUCCAGGUUAGCCAAGGCCACAUGGUGAAAUUGGUCUCAACAAAAUAAAACAACAAAAAAGACAGUUCACCUGGCCGUCUAUAAUGUGCUGUGAAGGUGAAAAUACAGAGGGUACAUUCUCACCUCCAAGCACAGCUUCGUCAUCUUGGCCCUUUGGCCUGGGAAUUAUGGUGUUUGUCAAAGGCCACACCUACCCACUUGGUGUGUGAUCGUAUUUGAUCAGCAAUGGAUAAUGACUGUGAAUAAGUCUGGGCGCAACUCAGGGCUGGAAAUCAUUCACUGUUGCUCAUGGAACCACAUUCAUCAAAGUCAGAAGGGACAGAUUAAAGCCUAAAACCAUAAAAGUGGCUGGAAGAAAGUGUGAAGUCACGAUCGACUUUAAAGACUUACGAGGGAUGCAUGGAAAAUCCAGAGUAAUCAUUCUCAGGCCAAGACAAGUUGGUAGAGGAGCGUAUGCUAACAUGCUUGAGGAGGAAGUGGAGGAGCCUACCGAAGGUGCAGAGGACUGUUAGUGUAGAAGUGAGGACUUGGAGGAGCCUGUGGAGACAUCCUCAGAGAGAGAGAGAGAGAGAGAGACAAAGAUAAGGAAACAGAAGCAGAGCUGGUGAUGUCGACAUGACUGCCAGAUGCCCGACUAUUGAGUCACACAGAAAUUGAAGCCCAAAGUUACGGGCUACGACCCUCAAACAGAACACAAAGCCACCCGUGUCACCGCUGGAGGAGUAGCACCCAGCACCGUGGGCCGAAGUUCUCUGAAGAGGCCGGAUCUGUACUGAAGAUCCUGACUGAUAGAAAGCUGGAACUGUGGGGAGGUGGAAUGUGGUCACUGGGCUAUCUUGGGUCCCCUAACAGCCACUUAGCUUAACUAUUGCAUCUGACCCAGCAUUCUCCUGGCUAAUAGGUAAACUUCUUGGAAUGUGUCACUAAGCUUACCGUCCCUGGAGCCUCCACCAAGCCUAAGACCAACACUGCCGAGAGAUAACAUCUGUGAGUCUCUAGAAAAGAUUUCCUGGCUUUGGAGACAGCCUACCUGGUGCUUCCAGCCAUGUAAUUAGAAAAUUGAUAGAUGGCUUGCUUUUGUUCCGGGACUAUAAAAGUUCACCUUUUCCACGGUGGAAUGUGUCAUUCAGGGCAAUUCAAGUCAAUGUUCUUGGGCCAUAGUUACUCAGUGGCUUGGGAUAACCAUGUUCUUCUUUCCUUUAAAGCAGUUAUUCUUCUAUGUUUGACAGCAAUGCUGUGCUGAGUUAUAAAGUAAAAAUCACA